AUCCUGUGGUGAGGACAUUUUCAUAAUAUCUCUUUGAAUCUUUCCCAUGACUCGUAUAGGGAUUCAUCAUCCAUUUGCUAAAAUGUAUUGAUCUAAUUCUACAGCUU
This is a non-coding RNA of Gossypium arboreum, 107 nucleotides long. NCBI's taxonomy places the organism in Eukaryota, Viridiplantae, Streptophyta, Magnoliopsida, Malvales, Malvaceae. The record is from Rfam.